Molecule: transfer RNA, 73 nt
Filed under: Caldilineales bacterium
Lineage: Bacteria; Bacillati; Chloroflexota; Caldilineae; Caldilineales
Description: tRNA-Arg
Rfam family: tRNA
About the family: Transfer RNA (tRNA) molecules are approximately 80 nucleotides in length. Their secondary structure includes four short double-helical elements and three loops (D, anti-codon, and T loops).
Source: RNAcentral
GCCCACGUAGCUCAGUGGAUAGAGCACUUGCCUCCGGAGCAAGGGGUCACAGGUUCAAAUCCUGUCGUGGGUA